RNAcentral lists this ribosomal RNA (237 nucleotides) under uncultured bacterium. RNAcentral's name for it is "partial 16S ribosomal RNA". It matches the Rfam family "Bacterial small subunit ribosomal RNA", at positions 118 to 351 of the family's 1533-position model. The record is from RNAcentral.
UGAGUAACCUGCCCUUGACUCUGGGAUAAGCCUGGGAAACCGGGUCUAAUACCGGAUAUGACUGCCGGCCGCAUGGCCUGGUGGUGGAAAGCUUUAUUGCGGUUUUGGAUGGACUCGCGGCCUAUCAGCUUGUUGGCGGGGUAAUGGCCCACCAAGGCGGCGACGGGUAGCCGGCCUGAGAGGGUGACCGGCCACACUGGGACUGAGACACGGCCCAGACCUCCGUACGGGAGGCAG